Molecule: ribosomal RNA, 595 nt
Filed under: Exserohilum rostratum
Lineage: Eukaryota; Fungi; Ascomycota; Dothideomycetes; Pleosporales; Pleosporaceae
Description: eukaryotic LSU rRNA
Rfam family: 5.8S ribosomal RNA (bases 210-363)
Source: RNAcentral
UCCGUAGGGGGAACCUGCGGAGGGAUCAUUACACAACAAAAAUAUGAGGGUGUGGUUUGCUGGCAACAGCGUCCGCCCCAAGUAUUUUUCACCCAUGUCUUUUGCGCACUUUUUGUUUCCUGGGCGAGUUCGCUCGCCACCAGGACCCAACCAUAAACCUUUUUUUAUGCAGUUGCAAUCAGCGUCAGUAUAAUAAUUCAAUUUAUUAAAACUUUCAACAACGGAUCUCUUGGUUCUGGCAUCGAUGAAGAACGCAGCGAAAUGCGAUACGUAGUGUGAAUUGCAGAAUUCAGUGAAUCAUCGAAUCUUUGAACGCACAUUGCGCCCUUUGGUAUUCCAAAGGGCAUGCCUGUUCGAGCGUCAUUUGUACCCUCAAGCUUUGCUUGGUGUUGGGCGUCUUUUUGUCUCUCCCCUUGUUGGGGGAGACUCGCCUUAAAACGAUUGGCAGCCGACCUACUGGUUUUCGGAGCGCAGCACAAAUUUGCGCCUUCCAAUCCACGGGGCGGCAUCCAGCAAGCCUUUGUUUUCUAUAACAAAUCCACAUUUUGACCUCGGAUCAGGUAGGGAUACCCGCUGAACUUAAGCAUAUCAAUAA